GGACAACUCCACAGAAGACAGAUUUUCCCUGUGUUACUGGGAGGACUUGAAGUUCCAAGAUGGGUAGCGACUCGCCCAGGGUCAUCGGCUCCUGUGGGCCACAUUUUGCCAAAUCCCCCACCUGCAGAGUCACUGGCCAUGGCCUGGUUCUGCUAGCAGUGUCCUCCGGCCACCUUUGGUUUGGGCGUAGAAACCCAUUUGUAGUGUCAUCACUCCUGUGUCUCGUAUUUAGAAGCCUAGGGUUUAGGGGUUGCUUCUUUUUCUUUCAGUAGGUGAAUCCCCAUUUGAAGCCCCUCUCGAAAAUGGACCAAAUGAACCUGCUCAGAAUUGAACCUCUACUUCCCCAGCCCCACACCCUUAGAUUUGGAGUUCUGUUUAAAAGAAGUGCAUGUCCCUAGGGCUGAUGAGAACACUGGCCUUGGGACUUCCACAGUGAAAGGCAGGAGAUCGGAUGCAACACAGAUGCUCCUGGCUCCUAAGCAGGUGGGGUCACUCUGGCCAGUUAACCCCUUCUGGGGGUGGCUCUGAGCCAGCAGCCCAGGGCUGGGCACAUGGAGAGAUGCCUGGACAGGGUCUAUUCCCACCAGGCUUCUAUCAGCAUGUCCAGCCAUCACACUGCCAGGGGAGGAGGAAGUGAUGCCAGCACACGAGAAGGAAGACACUGGGACUCAGAGCCUCCUGUCCUCCCCGCCAACCCCAUGCACCCAUUCAACAGAUGGAGCUCAAGUAACCUACCCCAUGUCACCCAGCUGAGGCUAACGAGCAGGGAAAUGGGAGGAAGGAUGCCUCAAUCCUAAACAAGAUCCUAAAACAAGCACUUGGUGGCCUGAGUCUCUGGGGUGGGAGAUAUCCUGGGGCCCUAAAUCCAGCUCCUAGUACAGAGCUACUCUUUGUAGGUCUUCAAUAAGUGGUUAGCGGAAUGAAAGAGGCCUUGAACCCUUGUGGCCAGGGCUCCUGUUCCCACAGGCUUCAUAUUAAGCCCCCUUGUCCCUCUUUUCCUUUCCAGAUUCCUCAGCCCCUGGGGGCAGCCCUCCACCCUAAGAGAAAUCAAGAGAGGGAUGAGUCAGGACAUUCCUUCCCUGCCAACUCACCCUGCUGCAUGGGAUCCGAAUCAACCAACACCCAUUCCAAACACACUGGUUACACCGGCCAGCCACCACCCUCAUGUUGAUACACACCCAGCUCUGCCUUUAAGGGUGGCACCCGGCUUGCUGUUCCUUGGAGGCCCACACCCUCUCUGCAGCUUUACCCUCUACUUUAAAACUCCCACAGAAACAGAUGAUCCUGGCCCCUGGGAAGCACCUCCAGUUCUCAGGAGUCAGGCACUUCCCCUUCCAUUGAGCAUGGCUAUACUUAGUGAUUUGCUCCUAACAAAUAAGAUGUGGCAGAAGUGACGGUGCGUGAUGGUGUGUAAGAUGGGGAAAUAAAAGACAUCGUGGCUUCCUCCUUGCUCUCUCUUGGACUGCCUGCUCUGGGGGAAGCCAGCUGCCAUUUCGGGGUAUACUCUAACAGCCCUAUGAAAAGCUUAGUGGUAAGGAACUGAGGCCUCCAGUCAUCAGCAGUAUGAGUGAGUCUGCUUGGUAUUGGAUCCUCCAGCCCCAGUUGAGCCUUCAGAUGACUGCAGCCCCAGCCAACAGAUUGAGUACAACCCCACGACAGACCCUGAGUCAGAACCACCCAGCUAAGCUGCUGCCAGAUUCCAGGCCCACAGAAAUGGUGAGAUAAUAAAUGUUUGUUGUUCUAAGCCACUAA
Aethalodelphis obliquidens (Pacific white-sided dolphin) is the source of this 1752-nucleotide long non-coding RNA. RefSeq lists it as uncharacterized. NCBI's taxonomy places the organism in Eukaryota, Metazoa, Chordata, Mammalia, Artiodactyla, Delphinidae. The record is from RefSeq and is a predicted model, not a curated record. The transcript has 2 exons.